UGAAUUGGUACAGAGGAGGGUUUUCUUUCACCAAAACAUCAAAACUAGGCUUGCAUCUCAGAUGUAAUUUCUGGCAAAUUGUAGCUGAACUUUCAGGUCUUCUUUUUAAUAAAACCCUCUCUCCCGCUACAGUGCAAAAUAUCAUAUCAUGAUUAAAAAAAAAUGUAGAGGAAUUUCAGUGUGUUAAAGGCAUGGGCACAAGCCUAAUCUGGACAUCCCUGAUCUCAAUCCCUCAGACGGCAGAGCAUCAAGAGCUGUCAUUCAUCAAUAGAUAGAUAGAUAGAUACUUUAUUGAUCCCAGAGGGAAAUUCAAGGCAUCCAGUAGCUUGCACAUUAGACAAGACACACACAUUACACCAGACACACAAAUAAGAUUAAAUAAAUAAAAGAAGAUAGACCACUCAAUAAAAACCACUAACUAAACUAAAAAUAAAAAUAAAAUUUUGUCAGCAUCCAGUCUCACAGAAUAUAACGGAGUAAAUAUAGUGUAAUAAUGCAGUAAUAAGGAGGUAGCUGAUAGCUGAUAUAAUCAUAUAAACACGGGAUUACUUUGGGGGAACCUUUGUGAAACACAACAAUAUAGCAUUACAUUCACAAAUGACGCAGUGUAUGUGCAAAAAAAAAAAAAAAAAGCAUUAUGUUAAGCUUGUCCAGAAGCAGCGCUGACUUCACUGGGUUCACAGGCAUCUGGGUUGGACCUUCACAUGGUUGAAAUUUGUAUUGUGGUCAGAUGAAUCAGUAGAAAGAAGUGGGAAGAAUUAGGCACCAUGUGUGUCAAACCAAAGACAAAAAAAGACAAUCCAAGGGGAUGGAUACAUGAACAUUUCCAAGUCGCUGAAUAUGUCUUGAACUUUAUUUACAUCAGUUAUGAAGAAAUACAAACAGUAUGGCCUACAAUUCAGGGAUUGAUUGAUUAGUACUAACAAACUAGAUAAAGUUGGACAGAGGAAAAAAACGUGAACUAGCUUGGGUUCAUACUAUCUGCAAUGAAGUAAGUCAAAGUCAGUGUAAGAAUCUCUGUGUAACACCCAACCCCGACCCCAUUUUCCAUACUGUCUCAACUUUUUCUGAUGUUGGGUUGCAUGUCUCUUUGAAAGAUCCUUGGGUACCGCUGGAAUGACUUUGUGUCUGACUAACUUAACUACACUAUUGGUAAUUAUGCUGAUUGGUCCAAAUAUUACCAGGUUGAGCAAUAAAUGUCAGUCUUAUCGGCAGCAUAAAAUGCCCCGCUGGUUCCCAACUGGAUAUCAAUCAUCUCUAAUCUCCGCUCAAGUUGAGAAAAUGGAUCCGUGGGGAAUUCUCAGGCCUAUAAUCGAAAUCAAGGCCGAAUCACUAAAUUUCCUCUGAGCGUACAGUUGGUGAAUUCAGUACAGUUGACAUUUGAGACUGGACAGUGCGGAGCUGGUGAUUGUUGUUUUUUCAAAGUUCGUGACGCUUUAAGAAUGUUAAAUGAGAAUCAGACGUGGGCGACCCGCAAAUCUGUCAAAUCUCAAACAUGAGACCUCUUGUUGACUGACAGGAGAUUUCACAGCAGUUGUCUCAGUGAGGCAGUAUGUACAGUAGAUAACGGAAAGAAAUAAGCAUCAGCAAAAUAAGUGUUGACUCAUUUGGCUGGUUGUACAUUUAGGGGGAAAAAAACAGAUGAGAAUCUUUUUUUUUUUUUUUUUUUUAUCUUUUACUUUGUACAAGCACCGCGGUGUAAUACCUCAAUCAAAACCUAUUUUACUGCCGAAGGUUCUAUUGUUGUAAAAUACAGUUUUAUUUGGUGUAAAAUCUUAGUUUUAUAAAAAAGGAAAGUAAUGUUGGUUCAGAAGUUGUUGAUAUAAAUUGUGGGUUUGUGAUGUUUUUAAUUUUACUUGCUAACCCAGAAUGGAAAAAGUAGAAUGUUGUGUUGACUUGUCACAAACAUUUACUUCUCUGGUGGAUCUGGAACUUCUUGGAUUCGCUUUGGCUCUGUGAUGUUGAAUCUGGCAAGUUUUCUGUCAUUGUUCAUUUCAAUUAACUUUAAUGGAGGUGAACUCAUUUGGGGGCAGAUCAGAUCCUAACGCAGACGACCUUUUUAAUGAAUACACCUGAAAAGUGUUUUGAGGUAUUUUUGUCAUGAACUGGUGGUGAUUGUCAAAAGGUAAAAUCACAGUGCAUUUCUGAUGUAUUUCUUUCAAUCUUGUAUCCUUCCCGCCAUCUGUUGGCUCCUGUCAUGUAAAUAUUCUUGAUUAAAUUAAUUUAAGGAUUUCUGA
This is a long non-coding RNA of Thalassophryne amazonica, 2237 nucleotides long. RefSeq lists it as uncharacterized. The record is from RefSeq and is a predicted model, not a curated record. The transcript has 2 exons. NCBI's taxonomy places the organism in Eukaryota, Metazoa, Chordata, Actinopteri, Batrachoidiformes, Batrachoididae.